UACGUAGGGUGCGAGCGUUGUCCGGAAUUAUUGGGCGUAAAGAGCUCGUAGGCGGUCUGUCGCGUCGAUCGUGAAAACCCAGGGCUCAACCCUGGGCCUGCAUUCGAUACGGGCAGACUAGAGUACGGCAGGGGAGACUGGAAUUCCUGGUGUAGCGGUGAAAUGCGCAGAUAUCAGGAGGAACACCGGUGGCGAAGGCGGUUCUCUGGGCCUGUACUGACGCUGAGGAGCAAAAGCGUGGGGAGCGAACAGG
RNAcentral lists this ribosomal RNA (253 nucleotides) under uncultured bacterium. RNAcentral describes it as "partial 16S ribosomal RNA". It matches the Rfam family "Bacterial small subunit ribosomal RNA", at positions 524 to 776 of the family's 1533-position model. The record is from RNAcentral.